GAAAGUUCCUCCGCCGCCUGCGUGUGCCGCGCACGGGGCAGGGCGCGUUCAAACGGCCCUCCAGGCCGAAAGGGGGCGCCCCACGCGUAGGCUUCGGGCCUCUUAGGGCCGGGCCCAGGCCUGGGCCUGGCGGGGCCGCUCUGGGCCGGGCUAUGAGGGGCGCCCCCGAGUGGGGCCUGCGGCGGUGCUCCGGGGCUGAGCCCGAGGGGGCCGUGGGGAGGACCUGAGGGCGGCUGGGGGGGAGGGAACGAGAACGGGGUGGGGCGAAGGGGAGGAGGGAUGAGCAGGUGCGGACAGCGGGCCUGUUGGAGCAGGAAGGGGCGGGGGCGGCCGCGGCCCGGGGCGGGCAUGGAGGAGCGCGGAACGGUCUGAGCCGUGUGGGGCCGGUGGGUGCGGGGCGCUGCUGGGGGUGACGGGAGGAGGGGAGCAGCGGGGGGACACCGGACCGGGGGGAGUAGCAGGCCUUAAGGGUGAUUGGGGAAACGUGGGGGGGACGGCGGCCCUUGGGGGUGUGGGGACGGUCCGUGGAGCGAAGGGGGUUUCGGGCCCUCGGUUUGUUAUGUGCCCCGUUUGGAUGAGCCCCGGCCAGCAGGGACUCGGGAUGCUGUACUCCCAGCCCCAGUAUGCCCUCUGUCCCCUAUGGGACAGCGUUGUGUGGGGCAGCGAUGCUUGGGUGCUCCCUGGGCUGCUGGGCCGGGUGGGUCCUCGCUUUGCCUCUCCACAGCCCAGUGCUGGCCCUGCCAGCUGCAUUCAGGCACCCCGUCCUUCAGUCAGAGCAUUAGUGGGGCUGGCCGGGCAGGGGGUCCAGCUCUGCCCUCACCUCUGUGGCUGCAGCUGAAUCCCUAAAGCUUCCAUCCCGCGGUAAAUGAAUCCAGGCAGAGCAGCCAAACCCUGAGGUGGUCGCAUGGUUUGACAUCACCCCUCGCUGCUCCAUGGCAGCAGCACCGGGCACUGAGUGGGAUCCUGCCCUGUGCCCCUCAGCAGCAGCUCUUUGGGCUACAGCCUGAGGUCGCGCUGCAGGACGUGACCCUGUGUUGCCCUUGGUCCUGCUGAUAAUUGGCUUCAACGGGGAUUGUCUGCGAGGAGGAUUUGUUGUAGAGCCCGAGGUGAGGGAGGAAGCCAACACUCAGCAUCGUGGCCCUUUGUCCCUUGUCCCCAGGUGGAGGGGAGCCAGUGUGGAUGGGAGAGAUUUGUACCAUGCGCAGCGGAGCGAUGGUUUGGGGCUGAAGUAAGGCAUGUGCAGUGCUGGAGGCUGCAACUCUGUCCACCACAGCCUGAGGCGUGCAGGACAAACAGCAGUGCCUGAGUGCUGGAGUAUACCUGGCUGAUGCUGGGACAUCGAGCCAGGGGCAAGCUGCCAGGCUUGAAAACUGGCCUGACAUGACCUGAGUUGUUGAGCAAUGCUUUAAUCAUGCAAGCUGAAGGCUGUGGUCCUGCAGCUUCCUUGAGGUGUGGUGUUGGCUAUGCUGUGCUUGCGGUGCCCUGCCUGGGGCAGCAUGCUGCAGUGUCAGCACAGCAGCUCUGAGUUCGGCCGAGGAAGGAUCUGGAUGGCUCUACCCAGCAGAAAUGCAGUCGCAUGUCUCCCAGCCUCGUGGUCCAGAGCUGGAAUCGUGUCCCACACAGCUGAUGCUGCUUUUGGCCUCUGGUGCCUGCAGGCAGCCCUCAGGCUGCUGUGAAACCAGCUGUGCCCAGGUCCAUCAGCAUGCUCCAGGUACCACUGCCCCUGGAUCGUGAUGGGAUCCUAUUCCGGCUCCGUUUCACCACUCUGGCUGUUGGGACUGUGUUUUGCCCCUUGUUUGGUUUCCUUUUCUGCGUGAUUUGGUCUCUGCUCUUCCACUUCCAGGAGACAACAGCCACCCACUGCGGGGUAAGUGACGUCCACCUGCAGCGUGCUGAGCUCUUCUGGGUGCUGGCUGUGCAGGGAUCCUCUG
Molecule: long non-coding RNA, 1931 nt
Filed under: Gallus gallus (chicken)
Lineage: Eukaryota; Metazoa; Chordata; Aves; Galliformes; Phasianidae
Description: long non-coding RNA NONGGAT001443
Source: RNAcentral